GAUAGAACAAUAUUCCCAAUAGAUGAAAUUUUAGUGGGAGCCCCAUUUCCCAUUAAAACAUUUCCCAUUAAAAGAGAAAAUGUAACUAUAUAUGGAGUGGAGGCAUUUAAAUCAGACGUUUUCUGACAUACAUGAUGAGUGCCCCCUGAAUUUGGAUACCAUGAUGAGGUUCCUAUCGGCACAGGAACACAUGAGUUAGUAUUAUCAAAGUUGGAAUCAUACUGUGUGGCAUCCAAAAUAUGAGACGCAUGAAAAUCAGGGAUUUGG
Molecule: long non-coding RNA, 267 nt
Filed under: Gossypium barbadense (sea-island cotton)
Lineage: Eukaryota; Viridiplantae; Streptophyta; Magnoliopsida; Malvales; Malvaceae
Description: long non-coding RNA (GBAR_LNC019794)
Source: RNAcentral